CAGUAGCCGCGGGAAUACGUAGGGUGCAAGCGUUAAUCGGAAUUACUGGGCGUAAAGCGUGCGCAGGCGGUGAUGUAAGACAGUUGUGAAAUCCCCGGGCUCAACCUGGGAACUGCAUCUGUGACUGCAUCGCUGGAGUGCGGCAGAGGGGGAUGGAAUUCCGCGUGUAGCAGUGAAAUGCGUAGAUAUGCGGAGGAACACCGAUGGCGAAGGCAAUCCCCUGGGCCUGCACUGACGCUCAUGCACGAAAGCGUGGGGAGCAAACAGGAUUAGAUACCCCCGUAGUCCCUGUCUCUUAUAC
This 301-nucleotide ribosomal RNA is filed under the name uncultured bacterium. Its description in RNAcentral is "partial 16S ribosomal RNA". It matches the Rfam family "Bacterial small subunit ribosomal RNA", at positions 509 to 807 of the family's 1533-position model. The record is from RNAcentral.